AGUGGAAUUGCUGGAUAAUAUGGUAAUUCUGUGUUUAAUUUUUUGAGGAACCAUCAAAUUGUUUUCCACAGUGACUGCACCACUUUACAUUCCCACCAGCAGU
Molecule: microRNA precursor, 103 nt
Filed under: Marmota monax (woodchuck)
Lineage: Eukaryota; Metazoa; Chordata; Mammalia; Rodentia; Sciuridae
Source: RNAcentral